ACACUUUUUCUCCAUUUUUAUAACACCCGUUUGGGAGAUAGGUUUGGAUGGUUGCUAUUUAUAAGUUAGUCUAACCUUAAACUCCUUGAACCCUACACUAAUUCGUUCAAAGGAUUCAAAGGGGGUUUCUUGAAUGUCUUACCCAACCAAACCAAGAAAGCACAUUUCCUUACCCUGGAGGUAAUUAUAUAUAAAAAUUUCCAUUCUAUUGGAUAUAGGUCCCCCAAAAAAAUACAAUGAUUGAACGAUAGAGUUGAUCAAAAAGGUGGUCAAACACUUGUUGGUUGUAAAGCAACUCCUCGUCUACUAUUGACUAAAACAUUGUGUCUAUAACACUUUCCCUUACUCCUCGGGCUGAUGUGGAUUGCAAGUUUUUGUUUCUUUUUCUUUUCAACUUGUCUGCUUGUAUUCUAAUAGCCUCAUUUCUUUUCCAUAUUUUUGUAAGUUUGAUGGUUCCGUAAGAGUUUCAUAAUCUUCAUGUGGAGAUGGUAAAGAAGGAUAGAAAAGCUUGAGAAGAUGUUGCCACCGUUGGGAACCCUGUUGGAGGAAUGCAUUACAAUCAGAACUACAACAUGUUCCUCUCGUUUGUCCACACCAAAAGAAACAACACAAAAGUCAUCGAGAAAAGGUCAGAAGGUCGUUAGGCAUGCCCUCAACAUACUAGGCCGGUGAAGCUGACACCUUCACCAACAUUUCUGAUCCUCCAACUCCAAACAACCUCCUUACUCCGAUAAUUUAUGGGGAGGGUUUUUUUGGCCAAGGUUUUAAUCCUUUGGUCCUAUCAUUUUACAAUAAAGAUCUCUGUAUACAAGGGGUUCUUGAAGCUAGUUUGGCUUCCUUUUGUGAGCUUUAUUCUCGUGCUUGGGUGAUUCCCUAGUUUUUAGGGUUCAAAUUGACUAAGGUAGAAAGUUGAGGAGAGGAGAUCAAGAAUUAAAAGGACCUUGAGUUGUCUUCGACAUCUCUACGGGAAGCUUUGCAAGUGAAUGAAGGGCUUGCCGAUGACAUUGUUAACCUUCAAAGCAAAGUUAUGUCUUAAAGAAAAAGAAGCCAAAUUUAAUGAUCAAUGUCCAGCUGCUGAAGAGGCUAACCACAAGCUUUCAUGAGAGAUGACUGUGCUAAAGGAUUCUUUGGCUCAAGUUAACAAAGAAUGAGAUGAAGGAAGGACCAGAAGACUUGGUGCUAAGAACCUGGUUGAAGGGGCAAAGGUUCUGGUUUAUACUGAACAUGUGGUUAGGUUUGACAAGGUUGUCUUCCCGGCCAUGCUUCUUUGCAACUUGAGUGAUAUGUCAAGUUUUGACAUUGACAAGGAUGUUUACCAAGGGAAGUUGGUGGAUGUGGAUUCAAUUUCUUGGCCUACAGUUGAUGAGGAAACUUUGAGAACCCAUUCCGGCAAUGCUGCUGUUGAAACUGCACUUGGAAGGUGCGAAGCUUGAUGGUGCCAAUUUGCUCGGGGCAAUCAGAUAAUACUUGUGCUGACGAUGAAAAAAUUGGGAAGUGACUAUAUGGUUAUAGAAUGUCAAUACUUAGAAUGUCAAUACUAGACAAGUGAACCUGGGAAGUUAUAAAUUAUCCUUUGUUUGACAGUAAUUAAUAGUGCUGCUCUUGAAGUUGCUCAACGGGCAUUGAUUUGUGCUUGUGCUGAUGAUCUUCUCCAACUUGCUGCUGAUGUUGUGAGAGAAGCCGUUAAGGCUGUUCUUGUUCAUAUUUUGUAUUGAUUGGGUGGUUUGUUGCUUUUCUAAUGUAUCUAGCAAAUUAAAAUUUGAAUGUUACUAUUUAUAUUAUUUUAAUAAUCUUGUGUAGAGCACAUGGUUGAUAAAACCUCGUAAUAAUGAGUGUGAUUAGCAUGGUC
Cajanus cajan (pigeon pea) is the source of this 1849-nucleotide non-coding RNA. The record is from RefSeq and is a predicted model, not a curated record. Lineage: Eukaryota; Viridiplantae; Streptophyta; Magnoliopsida; Fabales; Fabaceae.